Molecule: ribosomal RNA, 494 nt
Filed under: uncultured bacterium
Lineage: Bacteria
Description: partial 16S ribosomal RNA
Rfam family: Bacterial small subunit ribosomal RNA
Source: RNAcentral
GACGAACGCUGGCGGCGUGCUUAACACAUGCAAGUCGAACGGUGAAGCGCCUUCCUUUUUGGUGGGUGUGGAUGAGUGGCGAACGGGUGAGUAACACGUGAGUAACCUGCCCCCUUCUUCUGGAUAACCGCAUGAAAGUGUGGCUAAUACGGGAUAUUCUGGGUCUGUCGCAUGAUGGGUCUGGGAAAGAUAUUGUUUCGGUGGGGGAUGGGCUCGCGGCCUAUCAGCUUGUUGGUGGGGUGAUGGCCUACCAAGGCGGUGACGGGUAGCCGGCCUGAGAGGGUGGACGGUCACACUGGGACUGAGGCACGGCCCAGACUCCUACGGGAGGCAGCAGUGGGGAAUAUUGCACGAUGGGCGCGAGCCUGAUGCAGCGACGCCGCGUGAGGGAUGGAGGCCUUCGGGUUGUGAACCUCUUUCGCCAGUGAAGCAGGCCUGCCUCGUUUGUGGGUGGGUUGACGGUAGCUGGAUAAGAAGCGCCGGCUAACUACGUG